Molecule: non-coding RNA, 31 nt
Filed under: Mus musculus (house mouse)
Lineage: Eukaryota; Metazoa; Chordata; Mammalia; Rodentia; Muridae
Source: RNAcentral
UCCAGCAGAGAACAGUGGUUUGGUUUCCAGC